Xiphophorus maculatus (southern platyfish) is the source of this 739-nucleotide long non-coding RNA. RefSeq lists it as uncharacterized. NCBI's taxonomy places the organism in Eukaryota, Metazoa, Chordata, Actinopteri, Cyprinodontiformes, Poeciliidae. The record is from RefSeq and is a predicted model, not a curated record. The transcript has 3 exons.
GGAAAGUCUCGACCUCCAUCCUCUGAACAUGUCGGCAUCUGCAUGUUUUGGAAGCUGUUAGGUAACAGAUCACACCUGGACUGAUAAUGGCUCCUUUGACAAGUUUUCUGGAAGUUUGUUCCAGAUUUGUGGAAGCUGAAUGCUGCUUCUGGUUCUGGAUGGAGAUCAGAACCAGAACCAGAACCUGGUCGGUGUGGCCUGCUGACCCAGCUGCAGCAGAUCUUCAUCUCCUGCUAUUUUUAGUUCGGCGCUCCGCCCGGUUCUGGAGGAAAACACCAGGAAGAUGCUGCUGCAUAUUAAUAUCAGCGUCCUGACAGCGAGCGGCGGACCGGGAGGUCAGCGGGUCAAGUUACAUGAGCAGAAACAAAAGAGUGAGAGCAGCGAGUCGGAUCGCUGACGGCGGCGCCCCGCCUCACUGAGGACAUCUGCUGGCGGAACAUGAGAAUGCAGCUCAGAUAUCUAGGAUUUUAAAUCCAUGUUGAACAUCUAACAACCAAAAUAUUCAUCGACUCAGAGUAAAAAGUCCAUGGUUCAAACCUAAAAUGUAUGAAUUGUACAAAUAUGAUAAGUUAUUUUAAAACUUUGGAUCAGAAGAUUAGUUUCCACCCUGAUUAAAGCUGAAAUGCUGAUUUUAUCAUAAAUAAAGCUAGAAAAAAAGGUUUCGGGUGAAAUUUAGGAAUUUUAGAUACAUUUUUAAGAAAUGUUGUUGCUAAAAUUUCCAAAUAAAUUUAGAAAUGAA